UACGUAGGGUGCAAGCGUUGUCCGGAAUUAUUGGGCGUAAAGAGCUCGUAGGUGGCCUGUCGCGUCGGCUGUGAAAACUCGGGGCUCAACUCCGAGCUUGCAGUCGAUACGGGCAGGCUAGAGUUCGGCAGGGGGAGACUGGAAUUCCUGGUGUAGCGGUGAAAAUGCGCAGAUAUCAGGAGGAACACCGGUGGCGAAGGCGGGUCUCUGGGCCGAUACUGACAUGAGGACGAAAGCGUGGGGAGCGAACAGG
Molecule: ribosomal RNA, 253 nt
Filed under: uncultured bacterium
Lineage: Bacteria
Description: partial 16S ribosomal RNA
Rfam family: Bacterial small subunit ribosomal RNA
Source: RNAcentral